UGUGUGCCAUACUUUGCCUGCCCUAUGCUGCCUAUGUGUGCCAUACUCUGCUUGCACUACUCUGCCUGUGGGAGGGGAGCCUGGUGUUAGUUUAUCAUUUGGAAAUAGUAUAUGGCCCAUAUGUGCUGGGGGAUGCUGCACUAUCCACGGGGGUGAAGGAGGUGUGUGGAUUUAAGGGUAUGUCUUAAAAGUUUAUGACUUUAUUAACUUUUUCACAUAUGAGUUAUGAAUGAUAUCCCUUCAGUGAGCAACCAAUAUUUUGUUGGUGUUCUACCACCAUUACUGUGAGUAUGGUCUUAUAAGUUCUAAGUAGGUGUUUUAAAUAAAGGGGGAGUAGUAAAAACUGGCUUCCAUUAUUUUCCCUUCACCACAUAGGUCAGAAAAAUUCUGGCCUUUUGUACCACAGAAGUUGGACAGCACUGCUCUAGGCUACACAGGCCAGAUAUUGUAAUUGUUUUAAUGAAUAUUUCACACUGGCUAUUGCAAAAAAAAAAAAAAUGAUUGUUUGAUUUCCCUUAUUUUUAAUAUUUAACAUGAACAUUUAUAUUCCAGGUUUUAUACCCCUUCAUGGAUGGAAUCAUAAACUGGGCCACCUGUAUCUUCAUAGUAAUUGUGUUAAUAACAUUGAAGAAGUUCUCCAGAGUAUGGUGGGAUUUAAUUGCUUGCUUCACCUUACAUUAGAGCAGAAUGCAAAAGGAAACCCUGUUUGUAAUGUCUUAGGAAUCUGCAAGUGGACCUGUAAAAACAGCUCGAAUUGAUGAAGUUCUAACCAAGUACAGAAAGCAGGGAGGUGCUUCAGAGGCUAUUAACUUAAGCACAGAUAUUACAUCCUCAUCUGAGCAUGAUAUUGCCCGGUUCCAUGAUAACAGCAACAUGUUGCGUGAGAUGAGAAUUAAGAAAUUGAAGGAUCAGAUUUUCAUAUAGAACAGACUACACUGACUCUGAAAGUGCAAAGGAUAACAGAAAGGGUAGUACAACAAGAACCCCUGGGUGUCGUAAAACAAGCCAGGCUUCUAAGCAUCAGAAGCAUCAGGCCAGCCAGCAGUCGAAAGGCAGAACAUUUGUCGGUGAGCCAAAACAGAAUGUAUCAAGGAAACAACCUCUUUCCAAGACUCAGAGAAAAGCAGAUAUUAAGACUAGUGUGUCAUCUGGGUGAACAGACAAUACAGGACAGAUACCUGGAAAGCCCCAUGCUCUAGAAGGGAGUCUAAAAAAAGAAAGGGGAGCUCAUCAGAAAUGCAACCGAGGAAUCUACAUACAGAGCACUUGUGCAAGAACUGGACCAGGAACGAGAAAGGAGGUGGAAGGCUGAACAAGUUGUCCUGAAGUUAACAGAUAGUAUAAAGGAACUACAAAACCAGGCCAAAGAAGAAAAGGACGUUAACAGUAUGGCUGUUUAUACCACUGAUGGAAAGGAACUGGAAGCCAGAGUUGCACUUAAUGGGCCUGAAUUUCAGGAUGCGCUGGCUAAAGAAAUGACCAAAGAAGCACAUCGCCACAGUCAAGAAUUACAUUCAUUUCAAGAGAAGAUGAAUUUGCUGACUCGGCAGUACGCUGAUCUAGAAGAUGAGUUUCGUGCGGCCUUGAUCAUUGAAGCAGGAAGAUUUAAAGAAGUAAUGUUAAAGUGGUAUAGUGCCUGUGUAUUUACACAUGUUACAGAGAUCAUUUUUGGGCUUGUAACUGAGUUUGUGUUGUGGAAAGACAGAAGGGCCCAAGGGAGGGCUUACAGAUUUGCCUGGUUUAGUCACGAAAUAACAAAAAAUAGAUAUUUCCUAACUGAAAUAACAAGCAAACAGUAAGUUCAGAACAAUCCCUACUCAUUAAACUGAUGUUUAGAAGGUGACAUACUGUCCCUUUAAAGGAGAAGGAAAGGUACAAUCACUGGGGCCACUGAUUGUAAUCAAUUACCUGAUAUCCCAGGCUGGUGAUCCUGUUAGCAAAAAACUUAACCGGCCUGGAGUACUUGCGAGCAAGCGAUCCUCUUCAUUCUGUCUUCUUUCUUUGUGAUCCCGCAGUAAAGUGAAAAGGCCGGCAGGUAACCUGGGCCGGUGCAGUUUUCUCUUAUGCAAAUCUACUGUACUCUACUCAGAUCUACUCUACCCUACUGUACUCUCUUAUUCAUUUGCCAUAUUGUGGAACCUGAGUUAACCCAUUAAUAGAGUAAAAGGCGUUAUUAGUGUUUAAAUAACGGGUUUUUACUACAUGGCGAUUAUCAGAAUAAUAAUUGGAUUUUUUGAUAAAAGAUUAGGGAAAAGGUAGGAGAUACAAGGUAUAAUUAUGUUUUUAGAUUCUUCUUUCUUUGAUUUUCCAUAUUGUGGAACCUCAAUUAACCUGUAAACAGAGUAAAAGACGGUAUUAGUGUUUAAAUCUUGAUGGUAUAAUGUAUUUUUACUACAUGGCGAUUAACAGAAUAAAAGUUGGAUUUUUUUAUAAAAAAAAUUAAGGAAAAGGUAAGAGAUAAAAGGUAUAAUUAUCUUUUUAGAUUCUUCUUUCUUUGAUUUGCCAUAUUGUGGAACCUCAGUUAACCUGAGGACCGAACACUGGGAGAAGUUCUUUGUUUGUGUUAUUCUGGAGUAGGACUUCCUAGAUGCUGAACGGGUUUACACUUUUCUCUUAGGUGUUCGAGAACGGGACUUUUUUAUCUCCGCGAUCUAGUAUACCUGGAAACAAUCAAUUCUACUCUACUCCAUCCUACUUAAAGGAACAGUAACACCAAAAAAUGAAAGUGUAUAAAAGUAAUAA
Molecule: long non-coding RNA, 2742 nt
Organism: Xenopus tropicalis (tropical clawed frog)
Lineage: Eukaryota; Metazoa; Chordata; Amphibia; Anura; Pipidae
Exons: 6
Source: RefSeq, a predicted model, not a curated record